UACGAAGGGGGCUAGCGUUGCUCGGAGUCACUGGGCGUAAAGCGCACGUAGGCGGAUUGUUAAGUCAGGGGUGAAAUCCUGGAGCUCAACUCCAGAACUGCCUUUGAUACUGGCGAUCUCGAGUCCGGGAGAGGUGAGUGGAACUGCGAGUGUAGAGGUGAAAUUCGUAGAUAUUCGCAAGAACACCAGUGGCGAAGGCGGCUCACUGGCCCGGUACUGACGCUGAGGUGCGAAAGCGUGGGGAGCAAACAGG
Molecule: ribosomal RNA, 253 nt
Filed under: uncultured bacterium
Lineage: Bacteria
Description: partial 16S ribosomal RNA
Rfam family: Bacterial small subunit ribosomal RNA
Source: RNAcentral